GGAAGUAAAAGACGUAACAAGGUCUCCGUUGGUGAACCAGCGGAGGGAUCAUUACUGGAAUCGCAAGAUCCCACAACCCUGUGAACCUACCGAAACGUUGCCUCGGCGGGUGCCCGGCCUCUGCGCCGGGCGCUGCGCCCGCCGGCGGCCCCCUACUCUGUCUCUGCAGCGUGGCAUCUCAGAGUCCCAGAAAACAAGUCAAAACUUUCAACAACGGAUCUCUUGGCUCUA
RNAcentral lists this unclassified non-coding RNA (231 nucleotides) under plant metagenome. RNAcentral describes it as "partial contains small subunit ribosomal RNA, internal transcribed spacer 1, and 5.8S ribosomal RNA". The stretch from base 1 to 54 matches the Rfam family "Eukaryotic small subunit ribosomal RNA", at positions 1778 to 1831 of the family's 1831-position model. The record is from RNAcentral.